Molecule: ribosomal RNA, 255 nt
Filed under: uncultured bacterium
Lineage: Bacteria
Description: partial 16S ribosomal RNA
Rfam family: Bacterial small subunit ribosomal RNA
Source: RNAcentral
UACGAAGGGGGCUAGCGUUGCUCGGAAUUACUGGGCGUAAAGGGCGCGUAGGCGGAUAUCUAAGUUGGGGGUGAAAUCCCGGGGCUCAACCUCGGAAUUGCCUUUCAAAACUGGGUAUCUUGAGUUCGGGAGAGGUGAGUGGAACUCCGAGUGUAGAGGUGAAAUUCGUAGAUAUUCGGAAGAACACCAGUGGCGAAGGCGACUCACUGGCCCGAUACUGACGCUGAGGCGCGAAAGCGUGGGGAGCAAACAGGG